Molecule: ribosomal RNA, 253 nt
Filed under: uncultured bacterium
Lineage: Bacteria
Description: partial 16S ribosomal RNA
Rfam family: Bacterial small subunit ribosomal RNA
Source: RNAcentral
UACGUAGGGUGCUAGCGUUGUCCGGAUUUAUUGGGCGUAAAGAGCGUGUAGGCGGCCAGGUAGGUCUGGUGUGAAAACUCGAGGCUUAACCUUGAGAUGUCAUCGGAAACCAUUUGGCUAGAGUCCGGAAGAGGAAAGUGGAAUUCCUGGUGUAGCGGUGAAAUGCGCAGAUAUCAGGAAGAACACCCGUGGCUAAGGCGGUUCUCUAGUACGGUACUGACGCUGAGACGCGAAAGCGUGGGGAGCGAACAGG